GAUGAACGCUGGCGGCGUGCCUAAUACAUGCAAGUCGAGCGAACAGACGAGGAGCUUGCUCCUCUGACGUUAGCGGCGGACGGGUGAGUAACACGUGGAUAACCUACCUAUAAGACUGGGAUAACUUCGGGAAACCGGAGCUAAUACCGGAUAAUAUAUUGAACCGCAGGGUGCAAUAGUGAAAGACGGUUUUGCUGUCACUUAUAGAUGGAUCCGCGCCGCAUUAGCUAGUUGGUAAGGUAACGGCUUACCAAGGCGACGAUGCGUAGCCGACCCGAGAGGGUGAUCGGCCACACUGGAACUGAGACACGGUCCAGACUCCUACGGGAGGCAGCAGUAGGGAAUCUUGCGCAAUGGGCGCAAGCCUGAUGGAGCAAUGCCGCGUGAGUGAUGAAGGUCUUCGGAUUGUAAAGCUCUGUUAUUGGGGAAGAACAAAUGUGUGAUUAUCUACGCAUGUUUUGACGGUACCUAAAGAGAAAGCCCCGGCUAACUUCGUG
Molecule: ribosomal RNA, 497 nt
Filed under: uncultured bacterium
Lineage: Bacteria
Description: partial 16S ribosomal RNA
Rfam family: Bacterial small subunit ribosomal RNA
Source: RNAcentral